Molecule: long non-coding RNA, 1284 nt
Organism: Osmia bicornis bicornis
Lineage: Eukaryota; Metazoa; Arthropoda; Insecta; Hymenoptera; Megachilidae
Exons: 2
Source: RefSeq, a predicted model, not a curated record
AUGUCAAAAAGAAAUCACAUUUCAAUCAACCAACUGCUGCGCUCAAUCCCCUUGCAUGCAACUUCUGAAGAUUUCAAAAAAUAAAAUUAAAAGGGUUGCAGUUAAUCAUGGAUGUUCUUCAAGAGGAUGACUGCACAAUGUUUUCCUAUUGAAUUUAAAACGCAGAAACAAAUGUUAGUGCGAUGGGAACAGAGAAUUAUUUUGAUAGAAGAUUAAUUGGUCCAAUGGUGAAAUAAAAAGGUUGCAGUUAAUUAUGGAUGUUCUGCAAGAGGAUGACUGCACGAUGUUUUCCUUUUGAAUUUAAAAUAUAGGAACAAAUGUUAGUGCGAUGGGAACAAAGAAUUAUUUUGAUAGAAGAUUAAUUGGUCCAAUGGUGAAAUAAAAAAAGGUUGCAGUUAAUCAUGGAUGUUCUUCAAGAGGAUUCCUUUUGAAUUUAAAAUAUAGGAACAAAUGUUAGUGCGAUGGGAACAGAGAAUUAUUUUGAUAGAAGAUUAAUUGGUCCAAUGGUGAAAUAAAAAAAGGUUGCAGUUAAUCAUGGAUGUUCUUCAAGAGGAUUCCUUUUGAAUUUAAAAUAUAGGAACAAAUGUUAGUGCAAUGGGAACAGAGAAUUAUUUUGAUAGAAGAUUAAUUGGUCCAAUGGUGAAAUAAAAAAAGGUUGCAGUUAAUCAUGGAUGUUCUUCAAGAGGAUUCCUUUUGAAUUUAAAAUAUAGGAACAAAUGUUAGUGCGAUGGGAACAAAGAAUUAUUUUGAUAGAAGAUUAAUUGGCCUGAUGGUGAAAUUGCAGCGACGCAUUGGAUCCUCUUCUGUGAUUUCUUCGAGCCAAGGCGUACACGCUGGAUCUUGGCCGGCUGAGAUUUUUCGAAAAUAGAGCUGACCGUCGUACGACGCGAGGAAGACUUGUAAAUGAUCGAUUAGAGGAGAGUUAAGAGACCGAAUUAACGAUGAUGUCAUAUUAAAUUCAGCUGGAUCGCGGUAUCAUCCAUUGGCCACGAAGAUUAUUUAGAAUAUGGAUUUAUGAUUUAUGAAGUCGUGGAUGAAUGUACCGAGAGCAGCCAAGUUUUACUGCCUUACCAGAAACAUUGGAAUGAAAUGCAGAGAAGAUGACAAGUUGAAUUGAAAGAAGAAUGAGAGUUUUGUUAAUGAAUUUUUUUAUUAAUUAUUAUAAUUUAGGCGAGAUAGAGAUGGAAGUUAGUUGAUUGCAAAUAUUUUGAUGACCUUGUUGCUAUUAUGAAUCAUUAUGCAACUGCCAGGUGGUCUCUUGAAUAAAUUGAAAGUUUGAUUAAA